RNAcentral lists this ribosomal RNA (253 nucleotides) under uncultured bacterium. Its description in RNAcentral is "partial 16S ribosomal RNA". It matches the Rfam family "Bacterial small subunit ribosomal RNA", at positions 524 to 776 of the family's 1533-position model. The record is from RNAcentral.
UACAGAGGUGGCAAGCGUUGUUCGGAAUUACUGGGCGUAAAGGGCGCGUAGGCGGCCAUCUAAGUCAGACGUGAAAUCCCCCGGCUUAACCUGGGAACUGCGUCUGAUACUGGACGGCUUGAGUUUGGGAGAGGGAUGCAGAAUUCCAGGUGUAGCGGUGAAAUGCGUAGAUAUCUGGAGGAAUACCGGUGGCGAAGGCGGCAUCCUGGACCAAAACUGACGCUGAUGCGCGAAAGCUAGGGGAGCAAACGGG